AACCUUAUGGACCUGCGGGCGUAUACCUGCGGAGGGAUCAUUACACAAAUAACAUAUGAAGGCUUGUACGCGGCUGUGCCCUUCUGGGUGCAGCGUCUGCUGCGGCUGGAUUAUUUAUUUUCACCCUUGUCUUUUGCGCACUUGUUGUUUCCUGGGCGGGUUCGCCCGCCACCAGGACCACAUGAUAAACCUUUUUUAUGCAGUUGCAAUCAGCGUCAGUACAACAAAAUGUAAAUCAUU
Molecule: unclassified non-coding RNA, 240 nt
Filed under: soil metagenome
Description: partial contains 5.8S ribosomal RNA, internal transcribed spacer 2, and large subunit ribosomal RNA
Source: RNAcentral